GUGUUUCCUUUAGCAGCAUGUAUAUUAAAAUUGGAACAAUACAGAGAAGAUUUGCAUGACCCCUGUACAAAAAUGACAUGGAAAUUCAUGAAGCAUUUCAUAUUUGA
This is a small nuclear RNA of Rattus norvegicus (Norway rat), 107 nucleotides long. NCBI's taxonomy places the organism in Eukaryota, Metazoa, Chordata, Mammalia, Rodentia, Muridae. The record is from Ensembl.